This 699-nucleotide ribosomal RNA is filed under the name uncultured bacterium. RNAcentral's name for it is "bacterial SSU rRNA". It matches the Rfam family "Bacterial small subunit ribosomal RNA", at positions 8 to 713 of the family's 1533-position model. The record is from RNAcentral.
AGAGUUUGGAUCCUGGCUCAGGACGAACGUUGGCGGUGCGCUUAAUGCAUGCAAGUCGAGGGAGAACCAUUCGAUCCGUAAGGACUGGAUGGGGAAACCGGCGAACGGGUGCGUAACACGUGAGGAACCUGCCCCGAAGACCGGGAUAGCCCGAGGAAACUCGGAUUAAUACCGGAUACCCUCUUUGGACCACAUGGUCCGCUGAGGAAAUGGUCCGCCGCUUCGGGAUGGCCUCGUGGCCUAUCAGCUUGUUGGUGAGGUAACGGCUCACCAAGGCAAAGACGGGUAGCUGGUCUGAGAGGACGAUCAGCCACACUGGGACUGAGACACGGCCCAGACUCCUACGGGAGGCAGCAGCAGGGAAUAUUGCACAAUGGGCGAAAGCCUGAUGCAGCGACACCGCGUGCGGGAUGAAGGCCCUCGGGUUGUAAACCGCUUUCAGGAGGGACGAAAAUGACGGUACCUCCAGAAGAAGGCCCGGCCAACUACGUGCCAGCAGCCGCGGUAAUACGUAGGGGCCAAACGUUGUCCGGAUUUGUUGGGCGUAAAGGGCUCGUAGGCGGUUCAACAAGUCGAUCGUGAAAGCCCGGGGCUCAACCCCGGGACGCCGGUCGAAACUGUUGUGACUAGGGUCCGGUAGAGGUGAGUGGAAUUCUCGGUGUAGCGGUGGAAUGCGCAGAUAUCGAGAGGAACACCAGU